Molecule: ribosomal RNA, 422 nt
Filed under: uncultured bacterium
Lineage: Bacteria
Description: bacterial SSU rRNA
Rfam family: Bacterial small subunit ribosomal RNA
Source: RNAcentral
UAAGGAAUAUUGGGCAAUGGACGCAAGUCUGACCCAGCCAUGCCGCGUGCAGGAUGACGGCCCUAUGGGUUGUAAACUGCUUUUGUACGGGAGAACCCCUUCGAUUCUUCGGAGGCUGACGGUACUGUACGAAUAAGCAUCGGCUAACUCCGUGCCAGCAGCCGCGGUAAUACGGAGGAUGCAAGCGUUAUCCGGAUUUAUUGGGUUUAAAGGGUGCGCAGGCGGAAUGGUAAGUCAGUGGUGAAAUCUCCCGGCUCAACCGGGAAACUGCCGUUGAUACUGCCGUUCUAGAGUACAGUUGGGGUGGGCGGAAUGUGUCAUGUAGCGGUGAAAUGCUUAGAUAUGACACAGAACACCGAUCGCGAAGGCAGCUCACCAAGUUGUAACUGACGCUCAUGCACGAAAGCGUGGGGAUCAAACAG